Molecule: long non-coding RNA, 1629 nt
Filed under: Helianthus annuus (common sunflower)
Lineage: Eukaryota; Viridiplantae; Streptophyta; Magnoliopsida; Asterales; Asteraceae
Source: RNAcentral
GCCAAAACUCUGGUCAAAACCCAUACACCCUUCGUACCCAUCUUUCCCUUUUCUCUUCCUGUGUUCUUCUUCCUUCCCUCUGCCCUAUCUCUUUAUAGAUCCAUGUUCUGCUUUUGAAUUUUGAAAAAGAGGUUUUGAUUUUCAAAUCUCUACUCUCUCCCUCAAUUGCCUAUUCGUGCAUCUUUCAAAUCUCUAAUCAGAUUUCAAAAUUCAAAUGGAUUUCAAACACCCACCUCUAAAUCCCCCCUUCAUUCAAAUGACAAAAACCCUAAACAGAUUUCAAAAUACAGACAACGUUCUUUCUCUUUCAUGGUUCUCUUUCUCGCUCUAGAAGUUGUUCAAAUGCUCGUCGUAUGCCGAUCACUCCGACUCCGCCAUCUUCUGGUCUCCAUGUGUCGAAAUAUGGCGAUAAAUUGACAUCAGAGUUAAUGGCGGCGCUAUCUAGAGAUCUAUUCAAGGAUUUUGUACGAUUUCCGUAGAAGGUUGCAGAUUCCAUGGUUUUGUUCCUCUGUAGUGGUGUGGUGCUGAUGGGGAUUCGGAAAUAAUUUAGCAGGACCAAGAUUCCCUUUUCAAAGAUGAUGAGUUAUGAAAUCUCCAUAUAGGAUGGAAAGAGAGCUUAAACCUCAUUUGUCUAUUCUGGUUGGCUAAUACUACUAUUAGGUUGAAGAUUACAAAACUAAAGGUGUAUAUAGUCUACCCUAAAGAUUUUGCAACCAUUUAAAAUAUCAUUCCGCUAACAGAAAUCGAUUGGAUAUAUUUGUUUGUGGCAACCAAAUACGCAAGGGUGUUGCUCUUAAAGCCGUUCGGAUCGCAGAGAUGUUGCUGUAACCGAGAUGUUUAGUUUAUUCAGGUUCAGGUAAAUUAAGAUGUUGAAUUAGCUGUUGAAGAGAAUCUGCAUUGUUUUAAAAAGUAGCAACGAAUCAACGAUACUAAUUAUAUCUGAACCAGGUGUCGCACCUUCUAUAUCAAAUGAAAAUGUGGUAACAGUAAAAAAUGCAAAUGUACUUGUGGAGUCGCAAGAUGAUGAUAAGAUGCAAGACCAGAGAGUUUAAACACGUUUGGUUUGAUUUGAUGUCUUUUUUUUUUAAAUCGAUUUAUUUAAACAAGUUAAAUGACAUGAUGAUAUAGGUUUUUAGUAGUAUUCGAAUCAUUAACUAUUUGUAUUUGACCAAAACUAAAAAAAAUAUAACCAUUUGAAAAGGUUAGUCAUUUUUUAGAUUAAAAAAGGAGUAAAAUCUUUACAUCGAGAAUGUCCUCAAGCAAUAAGAUGGACACCCAAGAUUUCUUGCGACACUAAUUAUAUAAGUUGCGUUUAACUUCUUACGACACUAAAGGUAAGUACCCUAUCUUUAUUGUCUCUUGCUUUACAUACAUUAUUCUGAACUCAAAUUCGUAAAUAAUGGAUAAAAUGUGUAAUAGUUCACAUUUAUAUAUUUUUUUUAUUCGAAGUUUAUAAAUGCAACAUGGUGGAAUUUUUGUUUAAUUGAGGCUGAAUAUAUGGGACUUUGAGUCUCAAAAGAUGGUGAUUUACAUUGCGUAACUAUGAAUCUUAAAGUAGUUAUUAAUAUGAAGUCACUGAACUUCAAACGAAGCAUGCAAUUUGAUAUAAGAGAUUAAAGAAUUGAAGGA